ACUUGGUGAUGUGGGCAUUUGUGUAGGAGGUCCCUAAAGUGCUCCCAAGUUUUGAAAAAUUGUUCCCCAUCAAAUUGUGAGAAACUAGUGAUGUGCUUCCUCAAGU
Malania oleifera is the source of this 106-nucleotide small nucleolar RNA. The record is from RefSeq and is a predicted model, not a curated record. NCBI's taxonomy places the organism in Eukaryota, Viridiplantae, Streptophyta, Magnoliopsida, Santalales, Ximeniaceae.